Molecule: ribosomal RNA, 215 nt
Filed under: uncultured bacterium
Lineage: Bacteria
Description: partial 16S ribosomal RNA
Rfam family: Bacterial small subunit ribosomal RNA
Source: RNAcentral
CACCUGGAAACAGAUGCUAAUACCGGAUAACAACACUAGACGCAUGUCUAGAGUUUAAAAGAUGGUUCUGCUAUCACUCUUGGAUGGACCUGCGGUGCAUUAGCUAGUUGGUAAGGUAACGGCUUACCAAGGCAAUGAUGCAUAGCCGAGUUGAGAGACUGAUCGGCCACAUUGGGACUGAGACACGGUCCAAACUCCUACGGGAGGCAGCAGUA